GCCUCGUGAAUUCAUCUCCGGGGGUAGAGCACUGUUUCGGCAAGGGGGUCAUCCCGACUUACCAACCCGAUGCAAACUGCGAAUACCGGAGAAUGUUAUCACGGGAGACACACGGCGGGUGCUAACGUCCGUCGUGAAGAGGGAAACAACCCAGACCGCCAGCUAAGGUCCCAAAGUCAUGGUUAAGUGGGAAACGAUGUGGGAAGGCCCAGACAGCCAGGAUGUUGGCUUAGAAGCAGCCAUCAUUUAAAGAAAGCGUAAUAGCUCACUGGUCGAGUCGGCCUGCGCGGAAGAUGUAACGGGGCUAAACCAUGCACCGAAGCUGCGGCAGCGACGCUUAUGCGUUGUUGGGUAGGGGAGCGUUCUGUAAGCCUGUGAAGGUGUGCUGUGAGGCAUGCUGGAGGUAUCAGAAGUGCGAAUGCUGACAUAAGUAACGAUAAAGCGGGUGAAAAGCCCGCUCGCCGGAAGACCAAGGGUUCCUGUCCAACGUUAAUCGGGGCAGGGUGAGUCGACCCCUAAGGCGAGGCCGAAAGGCGUAGUCGAUGGGAAACAGGUUAAUAUUCCUGUACUUGGUGUUACUGCGAAGGGGGGACGGAGAAGGCUAUGUUGGCCGGGCGACGGUUGUCCCGGUUUAAGCGUGUAGGCUGGUUUUCCAGGCAAAUCCGGAAAAUCAAGGCUGAGGCGUGAUGACGAGGCACUACGGUGCUGAAGCAACAAAUGCCCUGCUUCCAGGAAAAGCCUCUAAGCAUCAGGUAACAUCAAAUCGUACCCCAAACCGACACAGGUGGUCAGGUAGAGAAUACCAAGGCGCUUGAGAGAACUCGGGUGAAGGAACUAGGCAAAAUGGUGCCGUAACUUCGGGAGAAGGCACGCUGAUAUGUAGGUGAAGUCCCUCGCGGAUGGAGCUGAAAUCAGUCGAAGAUACCAGCUGGCUGCAACUGUUUAUUAAAAACACAGCACUGUGCAAACACGAAAGUGGACGUAUACGGUGUGACGCCUGCCCGGUGCCGGAAGGUUAAUUGAUGGGGUCAGCGCAAGCGAAGCUCUUGAUCGAAGCCCCGGUAAACGGCGGCCGUAACUAUAACGGUCCUAAGGUAGCGAAAUUCCUUGUCGGGUAAGUUCCGACCUGCACGAAUGGCGUAAUGAUGGCCAGGCUGUCUCCACCCGAGACUCAGUGAAAUUGAACUCGCUGUGAAGAUGCAGUGUACCCGCGGCAAGACGGAAAGACCCCGUGAACCUUUACUAUAGCUUGACACUGAACAUUGAGCCUUGAUGUGUAGGAUAGGUGGGAGGCUUAGAAGUGUGGACGCCAGUCUGCAUGGAGCCGACCUUGAAAUACCACCCUUUAAUGUUUGAUGUUCUAACGUUGACCCGUAAUCCGGGUUGCGGACAGUGUCUGGUGGGUAGUUUGACUGGGGCGGUCUCCUCCUAAAGAGUAACGGAGGAGCACGAAGGUUGGCUAAUCCUGGUCGGACAUCAGGAGGUUAGUGCAAUGGCAUAAGCCAGCUUGACUGCGAGCGUGACGGCGCGAGCAGGUGCGAAAGCAGGUCAUAGUGAUCCGGUGGUUCUGAAUGGAAGGGCCAUCGCUCAACGGAUAAAAGGUACUCCGGGGAUAACAGGCUGAUACCGCCCAAGAGUUCAUAUCGACGGCGGUGUUUGGCACCUCGAUGUCGGCUCAUCACAUCCUGGGGCUGAAGUAGGUCCCAAGGGUAUGGCUGUUCGCCAUUUAAAGUGGUACGCGAGCUGGGUUUAGAACGUCGUGAGACAGUUCGGUCCCUAUCUGCCGUGGGCGCUGGAGAACUGAGGGGGGCUGCUCCUAGUACGAGAGGACCGGAGUGGACGCAUCACUGGUGUUCGGGUUGUCAUGCCAAUGGCACUGCCCGGUAGCUAAAUGCGGAAGAGAUAAGUGCUGAAAGCAUCUAAGCACGAAACUUGCC
RNAcentral lists this ribosomal RNA (1937 nucleotides) under Escherichia coli. RNAcentral's name for it is "partial 23S ribosomal RNA". It matches the Rfam family "Bacterial large subunit ribosomal RNA", at positions 879 to 2798 of the family's 2925-position model. The record is from RNAcentral. Lineage: Bacteria; Pseudomonadati; Pseudomonadota; Gammaproteobacteria; Enterobacterales; Enterobacteriaceae.